This 253-nucleotide ribosomal RNA is filed under the name uncultured bacterium. RNAcentral describes it as "partial 16S ribosomal RNA". It matches the Rfam family "Bacterial small subunit ribosomal RNA", at positions 524 to 776 of the family's 1533-position model. The record is from RNAcentral.
CACGUAGGGCGCAAGCGUUGUCCGGAAUUAUUGGGCGUAGAGAGCUCGUAGGUGGUUUGCUGCGUCCGCUGUGAAAACCCAAGGCUUAACCUUGGGCUUGCAGUGGAUACGGGCAGACUAGAGGUAGGUAGGGGAGAAUGGAAUUCCCGGUGUAGCGGUGAAAUGCGCAGAUAUCGGGAGGAACACCGGUGGCGAAGGCGGUUCUCUGGGCCUUACCUGACACUGAGGAGCGAAAGCGUGGGGAGCGAACAGG